RNAcentral lists this ribosomal RNA (396 nucleotides) under uncultured bacterium. RNAcentral describes it as "bacterial SSU rRNA". It matches the Rfam family "Bacterial small subunit ribosomal RNA", at positions 28 to 418 of the family's 1533-position model. The record is from RNAcentral.
GACGAACGCUGGCGGCGUGCCUAACACAUGCAAGUUGAGCGACGAACCAGGGCUUGCCCUGGGGCAAAGCAGCGAACGGGUGAGUAACACGUGGGUAACGUGCCCCGAUAACCGGGACAACCCGAGGAAACUCGGGCUAAUACCGGAUGUGCCCACCGGACACCAGUCCGGUGUGUAAAGGAAGCUUCGGCCUCCGUAUCGGGAGCGGCCCGCGGCCCAUUAGCUAGUUGGUGAGGUAACGGCUCACCAAGGCAACGAUGGGUAGCUGGUCUGAGAGGACGAUCAGCCACACUGGGACUGAGACACGGCCCAGACUCCUACGGGAGGCAGCAGUGGGGAAUCUUGCGCAAUGCGCGAAAGCGUGACGCAGCAACGCCGCGUGGGGAAGAAGGCCUC